RNAcentral lists this small RNA (28 nucleotides) under Bombyx mori (domestic silkworm). Its description in RNAcentral is "piRNA piR-bmo-2210042". The record is from RNAcentral. Lineage: Eukaryota; Metazoa; Arthropoda; Insecta; Lepidoptera; Bombycidae.
UAGACUAGGACUUCCGAAAGCUGAGUGC